Cydia splendana is the source of this 456-nucleotide long non-coding RNA. RefSeq lists it as uncharacterized. Lineage: Eukaryota; Metazoa; Arthropoda; Insecta; Lepidoptera; Tortricidae. The record is from RefSeq and is a predicted model, not a curated record. The transcript has 3 exons.
UUACAUUUUUUGUGUAGUAUUUUAUCGUAGACGCAUUUCGCCGCGAUCGACGUUUGUUUGGGACUCUAAUUUGUGUUAUAAGUAAUAAAGCAGCUUUGUGUCUUAGAUCAUUUGUUUGGCUUUCUUUAACGCCAAGUAUCCGAAAUUAAGAAUUACACCCAAGUCUACAGAAUCAUCAAUCUACUCAAUCUUCAUACUGCUGCGUUGAAUCACGUCGCCAAUACAAUACACGAUCGAGGUGAAAUGCGACUAAAGUAAUAAACGAUUGAGUCAUAACGCGAAAGUUAAAUGCACGAUCGAGGUGAAAUGCGACUAAAACUUAUAGCCACUAGAAAAAAAAAACUAUUGAGACACAAUGCGAAAAUUAAAUAUGAGAUCGAGGUGAAAUGCGAUUUGGUGAAUGACUACAACAAUUUUAUGCUUUUGGGGUACAGGUCUAACAAAUCUCACUUUUCA